RNAcentral lists this long non-coding RNA (1253 nucleotides) under Homo sapiens (human). RNAcentral describes it as "HSALNT0163765". Lineage: Eukaryota; Metazoa; Chordata; Mammalia; Primates; Hominidae. The record is from RNAcentral.
GUCAAUUUGUAAAAUAGAAGUUUCAAUGGCACGUUUCAAUGUUAUAUAUCUAUCAUCUAUCUAUGUAUUUAUAUAUUUAUUUGUGUAUUUUUUUAUUUAAGGUGAUAUGUAACAAACUUGAGAUCUUAUAGGAUAGGAGAACACUAGGACACUAAUUAGGAACUGGUCCCAGGAACAAAGACCUUCUGGACUCAUCUGACAAGAUAAGAAUCAUCAAGCAUUCUUCCAGCAGAAAGUGACAAAGCCCUCCUUGAGCUGCUCAUGAGAAUUCACAAAUUUUUCAGAUAAAAGAUGCCUAUUUUAUUCUGGCUGAAAGCAUGAACAGAAUAAACAAUGAGCUCUGUGAAGAAUGUUCUAUGAACCCGAAUCAAACUCAAACUCCUGUGUCACUCCGGUACGCCUGAUCACUGGAUAUAACCACGUAUUGGUCCAAACUAGCUCCAGAUCCAGGAGUCCCACCCAUUAGAGGCUGCCUAGAUUGACAAAGGGAGGGCACAGCCUUCAGUGACACAGUACAUGGUUCUCCCACCAGUUGAAGUGACAUACCCUAUCAGUUUUCCCUUCGGUCUGAAUGCUGGUGUGACUGCGGACCUCGUGUUCCUCUUCAAGGCUGUGUAAGAGGCAUGGCUGGGGAGGCCUCAGGAACCUUACAAUCAUGGUGGAAGGUAAAGGGGAAGCAAGCACAUCUUCACAUGGAGCAGGAGAGACAGAGCCAAGGGGGAAGCGCUGCACACUUUUAAACAACCAGAUCUGGAACCUCCCUCUCUGUUACUACUCCCUUUGGAUUUAUCCAGUAGUCUUAGACGUCACCAGGGCCAAGCCAUGCAUAUAUAGAUUGAAAUGUUGUUUUCAAAACCUACUCAAGCUAUCUCUUGAUGAACAAGAUUAGUACCAUCUGAUUACAACCCUGAAGAGUCUAGAUUCCUUAUUCUGCAAAAUGGAUUUAUUGUAUCUCAAGGCACUGUGAAGUUUGCAGUAGCAUGUAUAGGCAAAAAGGAAAGUCCAAAGAGAGGAAAAGAAAGCAGGAGAGAUCUGAAAUGACACAAGAAGUGACUCAGAAUGGGAAGAUUGUGCACUCCUUGUUGUCCCCUAAUGCACAUGGAAGUAUGCAACAGAAGCUGUGAAAAUAACCCAGAGAGAAAGAAAAAAAUGAUGUAAAUUUAAACAUAGCAUAUUCUGGAAACAGUAUGCUUAUGGAACAGCCAGAGAGAUUUUCAAAACUUGAUCAUCUAAAUGCAGAGAACAGUUUCAAG